Molecule: ribosomal RNA, 433 nt
Filed under: uncultured bacterium
Lineage: Bacteria
Description: partial 16S ribosomal RNA
Rfam family: Bacterial small subunit ribosomal RNA
Source: RNAcentral
AACGAACGCUGGCGGCAUGCCUAACACAUGCAAGUCGAACGAGACCUUCGGGUCUAGUGGCGCACGGGUGCGUAACGCGUGGGAACCUGCCCUUAGGUUCGGAAUAACUCCCCGAAAGGGGUGCUAAUACCGGAUAAUGUCUUCGGACCAAAGAUUUAUCGCCUUUGGAUGGGCCCGCGUUGGAUUAGCUAGUUGGUAGGGUAAAAGCCUACCAAGGCGACGAUCCAUAGCUGGUCUGAGAGGAUGAUCAGCCACACUGGGACUGAGACACGGCCCAGACUCGUACGGAAGGGAGCAGUGGGGAAUAUUGGACAAUGGGCGAAAGUCUGAUCCAGCAAUGCCGCGUGAGUGAGGAAGGCCUUAGGGUUGUAAAGCUCUUUUACCCGGGAUGAUAAUGACAGUACCGGGAGAAUAAGCUCCGGCUAACUCCGUG